UGAGGAACAUGACCUUCGGCGGGGGAUAGCCGGCCCAACGGCCGGGUAAUACCGCGUACGACCACAUGGGGACAUCCCUGAGUGGUGAAAGCAGCAAUGCGCCGAUGGAGUGCCUCGCGGCCUAUCAGCUAGUUGGUGAGGUAACGGCUCACCAAGGCGACGACGGGUAGCUGGUCUGAGAGGAUGGCCAGCCANAGUUGGGACUGAGACACGGCCCAGACCUCGUAACCGGGGAGG
RNAcentral lists this ribosomal RNA (237 nucleotides) under uncultured bacterium. Its description in RNAcentral is "partial 16S ribosomal RNA". It matches the Rfam family "Bacterial small subunit ribosomal RNA", at positions 118 to 347 of the family's 1533-position model. The record is from RNAcentral.